GGUAAUACGUAGGGUGCAAGCGUUAUCCGGAAUUAUUGGGCGUAAAGGGCUCGUAGGCGGUUCGUCGCGUCCGGUGUGAAAGUCCAUCGCUUAACGGUGGAUCCGCGCCGGGUACGGGCGGGCUUGAGUGCGGUAGGGGAGACUGGAAUUCCCGGUGUAACGGUGGAAUGUGUAGAUAUCGGGAAGAACACCAAUGGCGAAGGCAGGUCUCUGGGCCGUCACUGACGCUGAGGAGCGAAAGCGUGGGGAGCGAACAGGAUUAGAUACCCUGGUAGUCCACGCCGUAAACGGUGGAUGCUGGAUGUGGGGACCAUUCCACGGUCUCCGUGUCGGAGCCAACGCGUUAAGCAUCCCGCCUGGGGAGUACGGCCGCAAGGCUAAAACUCAAAGAAAUUGACGGGGGCCCGCACAAGCGGCGGAGCAUGCGGAUUAAUUCGAUGCAACGCGAAGAACCUUACCUGGGCUUGACAUGUUCCCGACGACGCCAGAGAUGGCGUUUCCCUUCGGGGCGGGUUCACAGGUGGUGCAUGGUCGUCGUCAGCUCGUGUCGUGAGAUGUUGGGUUAAGUCCCGCAACGAGCGCAACCCUCGCCCUGUGUUGCCAGCACGUCGUGGUGGGAACUCACGGGGGACCGCCGGGGUCAACUCGGAGGAAGGUGGGGAUGACGUCAGAUCAUCAUGCCCCUUACGUCCAGGGCUUCACGCAUGCUACAAUGGCCGGUACAACGGGAUGCGACACCGCGAGGU
Molecule: ribosomal RNA, 746 nt
Filed under: human gut metagenome
Description: bacterial SSU rRNA
Rfam family: Bacterial small subunit ribosomal RNA
Source: RNAcentral